This 447-nucleotide ribosomal RNA is filed under the name uncultured bacterium. RNAcentral describes it as "bacterial SSU rRNA". It matches the Rfam family "Bacterial small subunit ribosomal RNA", at positions 329 to 792 of the family's 1533-position model. The record is from RNAcentral.
UGCCAGACUCCUACGGGAGGCAGCAGUGGGGAAUAUUGCACAAUGGGGGAAACCCUGAUGCAGCGACGCCGCGUGAGUGAAGAAGUAUUUCGGUACGUAAAGCUCUGUCAGCAGGGAAGAAAAUGACGGUACCUGAUUAAGAAGCCCCGGCUAACUACGUGCCAGCAGCCGCGGUAAUACGUAGGGGGCAAGCGUUAUCCGGAUUUACUGGGUGUAAAGGGUGUGUAGGUGGCAUGGCAAGUCAGAAGUGAAAGCCCGGGGCUCAACCCCGCGGACUGCUUUUGAAACUGUCAGGCUGGAGUACAGGGGAGGUAAGCGGAAUUCCUAGUGUAGCGGUGAAAUGCGUAGAUAUUAGGAGGAACACCAGUGGCGAAGGCGGCUUACUGGACUGUAACUGACACUGAGGCACGAAAGCGUGGGGAGCAAACAGGAUUAGAUACCCGAGUA